CGGGAAAAUUCCAUGGAAGUAGAAGCAUGGUGUGCUCCGUGAUAAAGGAGUAGUAAUAUUACGAUUCAUUAAGGUUAAUUUCUUAAAUACCAGUGAUGGUUUUAGCUCCUGGUUGAUGAGGAACGAGCUCUUACGGUGAGUUCACAAGGCAAGGUUAAAUAAAGGAUUGUGAACCAUCAGUCUGAGAGACCAUCAUUUCAACCGGGGACGCUACAGGAAUUAUGUCAACUGGAGACUUGGCUGCGUUUUUGAAGACGGAGAGGAAGCUAUGCACACUGGAGACCCAGAGGGAACCAGAGUCACCAGCAUCCAGCCCAGAGAAUUUUAGAGUUUAGAAUUUGGGGAUCAGUGGUCAUUGUGGAAGGGGCGGCAUGGUGGUGCAGUGGUUAGCACUGUCGCCUCACACCUCUGGGACCCGGGUUCGAGUCUCCGCCUGGGUCACAUGUGUGCGGAGUUUGCAUGUUCUCCCCGUGUCGUCGUGGGGUUUCCUCCGGGUACUCCGGUUUCCCCCCACAGUCCAAAAAAAAAAAAAAACAUGCUGAGGCUAAUUGGAGUUGCUGAAUUGCCCGUAGGUGUGCAUGUGUGGGUGAAUGGUGUGUGAGUGUGCCCUGCGAUGGGCUGGCCCCCCAUCCUGGGUUGUUCCCUGCCUCGUGCCCAUUGCUUCCGGGAUAGGCUCCGGACCCCCCGCGACCCAAUAGGAUAAGCGGUUUGGAAAAUGGAUGGAUGGAUGGAUGGUCAUUGUGGACACACCACAGCAAUCAGUGCACAACAACAUAAUGUGUCCUCUGCAUUUAACCCGUAUGUGACAUCAUGAUAAAGCAGGGGGCAGCUAAUUGAGUGUCCAGGGUGCCGGCACUCUGCCCAAGUCUCUUUGCUCGGACCAGCAGCGCCCAUCUUGCCAGGCACAGGUUUGCCAGCUCCAAACCCCAAGCAGGUUGCCAGCGACUCAGAAGAGGCCGUGUCUGUGUCUCCAGUCUCAGACCUGAGCCCCUCAGGUGGCCACACUCAGGUGACCAAGCACCUGUCCAGCCUUCACAGUUGCCCAGGAUCAGGCUUUGGCCCUGGUCUUGUGUUUCCAUGUUCUGGAGCUGUCAUCUGGGACAUGGACGCCAUCAGUGCCCUCCGGAUCCUCUGCUGGCAACCUUUCCUACACCCACAGAUCCUCCUCUGAUUCCCCUUGUGCCUCUGCUCCCUACGUCCAUCCCUCCUGUCUGGUUUUCUAUUGUACUUCAUCCCAAACAUGCUUAGUAGGAUUGGGGUCAAGAAGGCCAGUCGAGUUCUUCCACACCAAACUCAGCCAACCAUGUCUUUAUGGACCGUGCGUUCUUUGUCCACCUUCGGAAUAUUCAUGCUGGAACAGAAAAGGGUCUUCUCCAAACUGUUCCCACAAAGUUGGAAGCAUAUAAUUGUCCAAAAUGACUUGGUAGCUUUAUAAUUACCAUAUUUAAUGUUGGUAAUGUCUUACUGUUUGUAGUUUAUCAAUUAAACCAUAUGUAUGUGUGGCCCAGAAUUUAAAAUGACGCAAUAACUGCAGUUGGGGUUCUUCACUUGCACAAUUUUACAAAAAUUAAACUGUUUUCCACUUAAAGUACUUGGAGCGAAAACAUGCUUACAGAGAAAUGUACAAAUUUGUCAAAAAGGAAACGAAAUACAUCUAGAUCCAGCUGAAUAAAUACAACUAAACAAAUAUUACCAAACAAAUAUGACUGUGAUUCGCUGGUGCAAACAAAAAGCACACAAAAUUGCAAAAAAAACUUGCACUCAAAACAAU
Long non-coding RNA from Brienomyrus brachyistius, 1771 nucleotides. RefSeq lists it as uncharacterized. The record is from RefSeq and is a predicted model, not a curated record. Lineage: Eukaryota; Metazoa; Chordata; Actinopteri; Osteoglossiformes; Mormyridae. The transcript has 3 exons.